Molecule: unclassified non-coding RNA, 1262 nt
Filed under: Hevea brasiliensis (rubber tree)
Lineage: Eukaryota; Viridiplantae; Streptophyta; Magnoliopsida; Malpighiales; Euphorbiaceae
Source: RNAcentral
UCUGUCUCAAAAUUGUGAUUUUCUGAUACAAAAUCAUAUCCUUCACUAAUACUAACAUUACCAUAACUACUGAUGUUUUCAUUUUCAAGAAAGAAUUCCAUUAGCAAAUCUUCAUAAAAAAGCAAGCUUUCAAGCUCUUGUUCAUAAAUAAUUGAAUCUGAGGCCAAGAAUGCAGUUGGAACUGAAGGUGCAUCCACCGAGAUCACAUCCCUCUCCUCGAAAUUACUUCUAACUCUAAUCCAAUCAUCCUCUUCCCAAGUCCAAUUGGGUAUAUCCACAGGGCAAGUACAUUCAACCAACUUCUUGAUUCUCUCUGGCGGAGAAUUCGAAUUCGAAAAACCUCCAAGUGUUGCUUCCAUUGAAUUCCAGAAAUCUUGAUCCAGUACACAACUUGGAGAAGUCGUGGUAAAAUCCUCCAUUUCCCUAAGCUCCAAGUCCAAAUUACCGAGAAAUGGAUGAUCGAGUAAUUCUUUAGCCGUCCAUCGCUCUUUUGGAUCUCUCCUUAAACACUUGCUCAAGAAAUCCUGACCCUUCUCUGUUAACCAGCUGGGAAACUCCGGCACCACACCAGAGAACCCAAUCUGAUACAAAGCUGAUACUGGGUCAUUCUGUUGCUCUGUCCAUGGGAUAGUCCCAGUUGCCAUUUCUAUGACUGUGCACCCCAAAGCCCACAAGUCUGCUGGGAACCCCUGCUCUUCUCCACGAGCUACCUCUGGCGCCAUGAACGCCGGUGUACCAGAAAAUUCUGACAUGGCACAACCACCAACUUUUUCAACAUAUUUAGCACAGCCAAAGUCGGCAAUUUUCGCUCCUUCUUUGCUUAUCAGAACAUUCUUGCUCUUGAUAUCACAAUGGACCAAGCCAUUCGUAUGCAAGUACUCCAAGCCUUGUAAGAUAUCUCGUGUGUAUAAUCUUAUCGUCGGCUCAUCUAGCUGACCUCCAUGUCUCCGAAUCGCAUCGUGGAGGGUGCCGCCGGCGACGUACUCCAUGCAAAUAUUGUACAUAGGCUUACUAUCUUCGUCUGUAAUAUCAUAGCCUAAGUACUUGACUACAUAAGGACUGCUUAAUUUAGACAGAAAGUAGUGCUCUUUUUGCAGGAACAUAGACCUAGAGAGCUCCGUGGACUUAACAGCAAAGAGCUCACCGGUGGAGGCACAGGUGGCUAACGAGACAGUGGCGGUGGAGCCACGGCCGAUGACAGGCCCUCUAGUCCACUCCAUAUUGGAGAGAAGAGAGCACACAAGAAAAGAGGAGUGAAAAAG